CAGCAGUCGCCGCGGUAAUACGGAGGGUGCAAGCGUUAAUCGGAAUUACUGGGCGUAAAGCGCACGCAGGCGGUCUGACAAGUCAGAUGUGAAAUCCCCGGGCUUAACCUGGGAACUGCAUUUGAAACUGUCAGGCUGGAGUCUUGUAGAGGGGGGUGGAAUUCCAGGUGUAGCGGUGAAAUGCGUAGAGAUCUGGAGGAAUACCGGUGGCGAAGGCGGCCCCCUGGACAAAGACUGACGCUCAGGUGCGAAAGCGUGGGGAGCAAACAGGAUUAGAUACCCCUGUAGUCCCUGUCUCUUAUAA
RNAcentral lists this ribosomal RNA (304 nucleotides) under uncultured bacterium. RNAcentral's name for it is "partial 16S ribosomal RNA". It matches the Rfam family "Bacterial small subunit ribosomal RNA", at positions 509 to 809 of the family's 1533-position model. The record is from RNAcentral.